CGUAGGGUGCAAGCGUUAAUCGGAAUUACUGGGCGUAAGGCGUGCGCAGGCGGUUUGGUAAGACAGAUGUGAAAUCCCCGGGCUUAACCUGGGAAUUGCAUUUGUGACUGCCCGGCUAGAGUUUGGCAGAGGGGGUAGAAUUCCACGUGUAGCAGUGAAAUGCGUAGAUAUGUGGAGGAAUACCGAUGGCGAAGGCAGCCCCCUGGGUCAAGACUGACGCUCAUGCACGAAAGCGUGGGGAGCAAACAGGAUUAGAUACCCUGGUAGUCCACGCCCUAAACGAUGUCUACUAGUUGUCGGGUCUUAAUUGACUUGGUAACGCAGCUAACGCGUGAAGUAGACCGCCUGGGGAGUACGGUCGCAAGAUUA
RNAcentral lists this ribosomal RNA (369 nucleotides) under uncultured organism. RNAcentral describes it as "bacterial SSU rRNA". It matches the Rfam family "Bacterial small subunit ribosomal RNA", at positions 526 to 896 of the family's 1533-position model. The record is from RNAcentral.